RNAcentral lists this ribosomal RNA (433 nucleotides) under uncultured bacterium. RNAcentral describes it as "partial 16S ribosomal RNA". It matches the Rfam family "Bacterial small subunit ribosomal RNA", at positions 29 to 507 of the family's 1533-position model. The record is from RNAcentral.
AACGAACGCUGGCGGCAUGCCUAACACAUGCAAGUCGAACGAUACCUUCGGGUCUAGUGGCGCACGGGUGCGUAACGCGUGGGAACCUGCCCUUAGGUUCGGAAUAACUCCCCGAAAGGGGUGCUAAUACCGGAUAAUGUCUUCGGACCAAAGAUUUAUCGCCUUUGGCUGGGCCCGCGUUGGUUUAGCUAGUUGGUAGGGUAAAAGCCUACCAAGGCGACGAUCCAUAGCUGGUCUGAGAGGAUGAUCAGCCACACUGGGACUGAGACACGGCCCAGACUCCUACGGGAGGCAGGAGUGGGGGAUAUUGCACAACGGGGGGAGGCAUGAUGCAGCAAGGCUGGGAGAGUGAUGAAGGCAGUAAAGUAGUAAAUCUCGUUUAUCCGGGAGGAUAAUGACGGUACCGGGAGAAUAAGCACCGGCUAACUCCGUG